RNAcentral lists this ribosomal RNA (558 nucleotides) under uncultured eukaryote. RNAcentral's name for it is "SSU rRNA". It matches the Rfam family "Eukaryotic small subunit ribosomal RNA", at positions 4 to 565 of the family's 1831-position model. The record is from RNAcentral.
CUGGUUGAUCCUGCCAGUAGUCAUAUGCUUGUCUCAAAGAUUAAGCCAUGCAUGUCUAAGUAUAAGCAAUCUAUACCGUGAAACUGCGAAUGGCUCAUUAAAUCAGUUAUCGUUUAUUUGAUAGUACCUUACUACUUGGAUAACCGUGGUAAUUCUAGAGCUAAUACAUGCUAAAAACCUCGACUUCGGAAGGGGUGUAUUUAUUAGAUAAAAAACCAAUGCCCUUCGGGGCUCCUUGGUGAUUCAUAAUAACUUAACGAAUCGCAUGGCCUUGUGCCGGCGAUGGUUCAUUCAAAUUUCUGCCCUAUCAACUUUCGAUGGUAUGGUCUUGGCUUACCAUGGUUUCAACGGGUAACGGGGAAUUAGGGUUCUAUUCCGGAGAGGGAGCCUGAGAAACGGCUACCACAUCCAAGGAAGGCAGCAGGCGCGCAAAUUACCCAAUCCCGACACGGGGAGGUAGUGACAAUAAAUACUGAUACAGGGCUCUUUUGGGUCUUGUAAUUGGAAUGAGUACAAUUUAAAUCCCUUAACGAGGAACAAUUGGAGGGCAAGUCUGGU